This 467-nucleotide ribosomal RNA is filed under the name uncultured bacterium. Its description in RNAcentral is "partial 16S ribosomal RNA". It matches the Rfam family "Bacterial small subunit ribosomal RNA", at positions 28 to 506 of the family's 1533-position model. The record is from RNAcentral.
GACGAACGCUGGCGGCGUGCUUAACACAUGCAAGUCGAACGGAAAGGCCCUGCUUUUGUGGGGUGCUCGAGUGGCGAACGGGUGAGUAACACGUGAGUAACCUGCCCUUGACUUUGGGAUAACUUCAGGAAACUGGGGCUAAUACCGGAUAGGAGCUCCUGCUGCAUGGUGGGGGUUGGAACGUUUCGGCGGUUGGGGAUGGACUCGCGGCUUAUCAGCUUGUUGGUGGGGUAGUGGCUUACCAAGGCUUUGACGGGUAGCCGGCCUGAGAGGGUGACCGGCCACAUUGGGACUGAGGUACGGCCCAGACGCCUACGGGAGGCAGCAGUGGGGAAUAUUGCACAAUGGGCGGAAGCCGGAUGCAGCAACGCCGCGUGCGGGAUGACGGCCUUCGGGUUGUAAACCGCUUUCGCCUGUGACGAAGCGUGAGUGACGGUAAUGGGUAAAGAAGCACCGGCUAACUACGU